UUAGUUAAGUGAAUAAGGGCGCACGGUGGAUGCCUUGGCACUAGGAGCCGAUGAAGGACGGGACUAACACCGAUAUGCCUCGGGGAGUUGUAAGUAAACAUAGAUCCGAGGAUUUCCGAAUGGGGAAACCCACUGUUCGUAAUGGAACAGGACUUAUGUCUGAAUACAUAGGGCAUAAGAGGCAUACCCAGGGAACUGAAACAUCUCAGUACCUGGAGGAAGAGAAAGCAAAUGCGAUUUCCCAAGUAGCGGCGAGCGAAACGGAAACAGCCCAAACCAGAGAGCUUGCUCUCUGGGGUUGUAGGACACUCCACAAGGAGUUACAAAGAAAUUCUUUAGAUGAAUCAACCUGGAAAGGUUAGCCAAAGAGGGUAACAGCCCUGUAAUCGAAAAAGAAUUUCCUCCGGAGUGGAU
This 414-nucleotide ribosomal RNA is filed under the name Bacilli bacterium. RNAcentral's name for it is "bacterial LSU rRNA". It matches the Rfam family "Bacterial large subunit ribosomal RNA", at positions 1 to 406 of the family's 2925-position model. Lineage: Bacteria; Bacillati; Bacillota; Bacilli. The record is from RNAcentral.